GAAUGCUGACAUAAGUAACGAUAAAGCGGGUGAAAAGCCCGCUCGCCGGAAGACCAAGGGUUCCUGUCCAACGUUAAUCGGGGCAGGGUGAGUCGACCCCUAAGGCGAGGCCGAAAGGCGUAGUCGAUGGGAAACAGGUUAAUAUUCCUGUACUUGGUGUUACUGCGAAGGGGGGACGGAGAAGGCUAUGUUGGCCGGGCGACGGUUGUCCCGGUUUAAGCGUGUAGGCUGGUUUUCCAGGCAAAUCCGGAAAACCAAGGCUGAGGCGUGAUGACGAGGCACUACGGUGCUGAAGCGACAAAUGCCCUGCUUCCAGGAAAAGCCUCUAAGCAUCAGGUAACAUCAAAUCGUACCCCAAACCGACACAGGUGGUCAGGUAGAGAAUACCAAGGCGCUUGAGAGAACUCGGGUGAAGGAACUAGGCAAAAUGGUGCCGUAACUUCGGGAGAAGGCACGCUGAUAUGUAGGUGAAGCGACUUGCUCGUGGAGCUGAAAUCAGUCGAAGAUACCAGCUGGCUGCAACUGUUUAUUAAAAACACAGCACUGUGCAAACACGAAAGUGGACGUAUACGGUGUGACGCCUGCCCGGUGCCGGAAGGUUAAUUGAUGGGGUUAGCGGCAACGCGAAGCUCUUGAUCGAAGCCCCGGUAAACGGCGGCCGUAACUAUAACGGUCCUAAGGUAGCGAAAUUCCUUGUCGGGUAAGUUCCGACCUGCACGAAUGGCGUAAUGAUGGCCAGGCUGUCUCCACCCGAGACUCAGUGAAAUUGAACUCGCUGUGAAGAUGCAGUGUACCCGCGGCAAGACGGAAAGACCCCGUGAACCUUUACUAUAGCUUGACACUGAACAUUGAGCCUUGAUGUGUAGGAUAGGUGGGAGGCUUUGAAGUGUGGACGCCAGUCUGCAUGGAGCCGACCUUGAAAUACCACCCUUUAAUGUUUGAUGUUCUAACGUUGGCCCGUAAUCCGGGUUGCGGACAGUGUCUGGUGGGUAGUUUGACUGGGGCGGUCUCCUCCUAAAGAGUAACGGAGGAGCACGAAGGUUGGCUAAUCCUGGUCGGACAUCAGG
Molecule: ribosomal RNA, 1067 nt
Filed under: Escherichia coli
Lineage: Bacteria; Pseudomonadati; Pseudomonadota; Gammaproteobacteria; Enterobacterales; Enterobacteriaceae
Description: partial 23S ribosomal RNA
Rfam family: Bacterial large subunit ribosomal RNA
Source: RNAcentral